UACGUAGGGUGCGAGCGUUAAUCGGAAUUACUGGGCGUAAAGCGUGCGCAGGCGGUUCGUUAAGUCAGAUGUGAAAGCCCCGGGCUCAACCUGGGAACUGCAUUUGAAACUGGCGGGCUUGAGUGCGGCAGUGGGGGGUGGAAUUCCGCGUGUAGCAGUGAAAUGCGUAGAGAUGCGGAGGAACACCGAUGGCGAAGGCAGCCCCCUGGGCCGACACUGACGCUCAGGCACGAAAGCGUGGGGAGCAAACAGG
This 253-nucleotide ribosomal RNA is filed under the name uncultured bacterium. RNAcentral describes it as "partial 16S ribosomal RNA". It matches the Rfam family "Bacterial small subunit ribosomal RNA", at positions 524 to 776 of the family's 1533-position model. The record is from RNAcentral.